GCAGAACGCGAAGAACCUUACCCACCUUUGACAUGUACGGAAUCCUUUAGAGAUAGAGGAGUGCUCGAAAGAGAGCCGUAACACAGGUGCUGCAUGGCUGUCGUCAGCUCGUGUCGUGAGAUGUUGGGUUAAGUCCCGCAACGAGCGCAACCCUUGUCAUUAGUUGCUACGAAAGGGCACUCUAAUGAGACGUGCCGGUGACAAACCGGAGGAAGGUGGGGAUGACGUCAAGUCCUCAUGGCCCUUAUAGGUGGGGCUACACACGUCAUACAAUGGCUGGGUACAAAGGGGUUGCCCAACCCGCGAGGGGGGAGCUAAUCCCAUAAAGCCAGUCGUAGUCCGGAUCGCAGUCUGCAACUCGACUGCGUGAAGUCGGAAUCGCUAGUAAUCGUGGAUCAGAAUGUCACGGUGAAUACGUUCCCGGGUCUUGUACACACCG
This 439-nucleotide ribosomal RNA is filed under the name uncultured bacterium. Its description in RNAcentral is "bacterial SSU rRNA". It matches the Rfam family "Bacterial small subunit ribosomal RNA", at positions 954 to 1392 of the family's 1533-position model. The record is from RNAcentral.